ACCUGGCUCACGCCGGUUUAAACUCAGAUCAUGUAAAAUUUUAAAGGUCGAACAGACCUAAUUUAUUAGSUUYUCCACCAAUAAUUUCUUUUAAUCCAACAUCGRGGUCGCAAUCUUUUUUUUUAAUUUGAACUCUAAAAAAAAAUUACGCUGUUAUCCCUAAGGUAAUUUUAUCUUAUAAUCUUAAUUUAAGGAUCAAUUCUUCAUUUAUAAAUGGUUUUAUACAAAAAAAGUUUAUUUAAUUUUUCAAUCACC
This 255-nucleotide ribosomal RNA is filed under the name Thyestetha discolor. Its description in RNAcentral is "partial 16S ribosomal RNA". The record is from RNAcentral. Lineage: Eukaryota; Metazoa; Arthropoda; Insecta; Coleoptera; Curculionidae.